AUGGACCACGCGUCCACUGCGGUUGUGAGUGCGCCGGCCGCGCCCACCUGACCGCUGCUCGCGACAUGUUGUUAGCC
This 77-nucleotide small RNA is filed under the name Xanthomonas oryzae pv. oryzicola. RNAcentral's name for it is "sX9 sRNA". It matches the Rfam family "Xanthomonas sRNA sX9". The record is from RNAcentral. Lineage: Bacteria; Pseudomonadati; Pseudomonadota; Gammaproteobacteria; Lysobacterales; Lysobacteraceae.